RNAcentral lists this ribosomal RNA (224 nucleotides) under uncultured Lactobacillus sp. RNAcentral's name for it is "partial 16S ribosomal RNA". It matches the Rfam family "Bacterial small subunit ribosomal RNA", at positions 138 to 354 of the family's 1533-position model. The record is from RNAcentral. Lineage: Bacteria; Bacillati; Bacillota; Bacilli; Lactobacillales; Lactobacillaceae.
CGGGAGUAACACCUGGAAACAGAUGCUAAUACCGGAUAAUAACAGAUGAUGCCUAUCAACUGUUUAAAAGAUGGUUCUGCUAUCACUCUUGGAUGGACCUGCGGUGCAUUAGCUAGUUGGUAGGGUAACGGCCUACCAAGGCGAUGAUGCAUAGCCGAGUUGAGAGACUGAUCGGCCACAUUGGGACUGAGACACGGCCCAAACUCCUACGGGAGGCAGCAGGC